AUGAUGAAGAGGCAUUAAUGGCGCCAAGAUGGCCGACGCUGGAACAACUGA
RNAcentral lists this small nucleolar RNA (51 nucleotides) under Pyrobaculum arsenaticum DSM 13514. RNAcentral's name for it is "PARsR40". Lineage: Archaea; Thermoproteati; Thermoproteota; Thermoprotei; Thermoproteales; Thermoproteaceae. RNAcentral also lists the same sequence under 1 other name. The record is from RNAcentral.